Molecule: ribosomal RNA, 253 nt
Filed under: uncultured microorganism
Description: partial 16S ribosomal RNA
Rfam family: Bacterial small subunit ribosomal RNA
Source: RNAcentral
UACGUAGGGUGCGAGCGUUAAUCGGAUUUACUGGGCGUAAAGAGCUCGUAGGCGGUAGUUCAAGUCAGGUGUGAAAUCCGACGGCUUAACCGGAGGACUGCACCUGAUACUGGGCUGCUAGAGGUAAGGAGAGGAAGGUGGAAUUCUCGGUGUAGCGGUGAAAUGCGUAGAUAUUGGAAGGAAUACCGGUGGCGAAGGCGGCCACCUGGUCAGAAACUGACGCUGAGGUACGAAAGCGUGGGGAGCAAACAGG